CGCCCCCCUACGGGAGGCAGCAGUGGGGAAUAUUGCACAAUGGGCGAAAGCCUGAUGCAGCAACGCCGCGUGAGGGACGAAGGCCUUCGGGUUGUAAACCUCUUUAAGCAGGGAAGAAGCGAAAGUGACGGUACCUGCAGAAAAAGCACCGGCGAAUUACGUGCCAGCAGCCGCGGUAUUCCGUAGGGGGCUAGGGUUGUCGGGAAUUCCUGGG
Molecule: ribosomal RNA, 214 nt
Filed under: uncultured bacterium
Lineage: Bacteria
Description: partial 16S ribosomal RNA
Rfam family: Bacterial small subunit ribosomal RNA
Source: RNAcentral